AGUGUGGAGCCAAUGAGAAGCAGAUGACAAGAGGGGAUUACAUACAGAAGUUAUUUUGGGGGAGACAAAGUAUACUGGUGAAAGACACAUGGGAAAGGAACUGGCAUAGGAAGGGUGCUUCACAGCUCUGACCCCUGUGCAAGCAGAGGGUGGGGGAAGGGUGGGUAUGAAGAGCCCCAGACCACAGGCAGGUCAGAAAAAGCCUCAGCAGACUGAGUAGAUCUUCACAUGGGGGUGCCCAUUAGAGCAUCCCUGCUUCCUGUGGGAAGACCUGGCUGUGGCCACCCCUUGGAUCCUCAUUGCCUGGAUCCAGCCUAGGGGCAGGAGGACAUCAGUCACCUCUGCUUCUCCUGCAGGUUCUCCUGGAGGGGCAUCUGAUUGGGAAACUUCCAUGACCACCAUCACCAGCUGCUGUAUCCUCAACUGGGACAGGGGCUGUGCCCUUCUCCCCAGUGCCUGCUCUUCCACCUGGGACCCAUGUGAGGUGCCCAGGAAUGUCCCUUGCAAGGGCUCCUGUCUCAAGUUCUAGAAGUUGUCCUGGAACUUUGCCAGAGCUGAGUCUCUCAUAGGAGAACUGAGAAUAGGCACAGCAUCUCCCUAGCAGAUGGAGGAGGAUCACCCGAGGGCCCCGUACAUCCUCCCUGCGGGAGGCCUGGGACACACACCCACCUCUACACCUGCAGCUGCCACUUCAGUGCCCACAAUCUCAAUGCCUUGCCCUGGAAGGGGCUGAGCAUCCCCAUGGCCUGUUUUCCCUUGUAUGAAGAUCUGUUUCACUCUCGGUGAACUCCUAGUCACACUAAGCAGCCUGAGCAAGCGCCUCCUCCUCUGAGCUGUCCCUGUGGAGAGAGCCCGUCUGCACUCAGCUCAGGCACUGUGUGCCCAGUUUGCAGCAGAUCAAGCUUUCUCCCGGGGGUUUUGUAGCCUAUAAUAUCAGUGGACCUGAUAUUAUAAUGCCCACUUCCUAUGAUGGAAAGGAACUGAAUGAGUGUGGAAUCUCUAGGACCACGCUGGCAUAUAAUGGGCCCUUGGGGUUUAGUUUAGUAGCAAAUUAAAAGGUGCCCAUUCCUCAAAACCUUCUAUAGACAGCUUUCAGGAAACUGCCAUGGAUAAAUAUCUGCAAAUCAAAGCAAAACUUUAGGGACAAACUACAUCAGUCUUCACCCGUGAAUUUUGCAUCUGUGAUGCAAAUGACACCCCUCUAAGGUGUUACCCUUCUGCAGUGCACUACCUGUGCAACUGUCCUCAGCAAAGAGGGAGUAAUCUGUAGUAACUGAGUGGUGGCUGCCCCCUUUACAGAGGCAUAAGUUCUCAACUUGCCACAGUCUGCACCAUUCCGCUUUGUGCUGUGCCUGGUCCAUUUUACUCACUGAUAUUACCCAACCUCUGAAGGUGUUUAAGUUUGACCAUUGACCUCUCAUUUCACAGUGAACCUCAGAGAGGUGAAAGGAUUCACCCAAGAUCACUCAGCAAGUGUGCAGUGUCAGCAAGUUAGCAGUAAGUCAACACUAGGCCUUAAGGCUCUUGUCAUUUCAGAGCAGGACUCUUACUGCCAUGCAGCUACCUCUCUCACCAGAUGGUCCAAGGCAUUUGGUUGUCUCUGGCUUUGGUGGUUGUGGGAGGGGUGGAUCAGAGAUGCCCUGGGCCAUGUUAUGGCUCUAGGCCACACGCAAGCAAGCUGGAAACUGAAUUGCCUCUGCAGCUGCAGAAGACUAAUUUCUAUAUUGAUAUUUGGAAAAACUAACAGCUAGAAAACACCAUUCUACUCAUUUUUAAAAGUAAGAUCAUAUUAAAUGACGUUACAUGCAUCAUUUAUGUAUUGCUCGCAGCACCAGCAUCCUCAAAUAUGGUUUUAAUUUUGGUAGAUAUCUUGCUAGGGGGAGCACAUUUCUAAGUUAUCCAGAUAUAGGGCCCUCUUUCCUUCUCUUUCUGUCCACAUGCAACCAGAUGUUUUGUGGAGUUAAAGUUGACAUUUAUUUAAAUGCUACUUGGUGUCUGUUUUUUUCACCUUUAAUUUAGGGUUUUCUAUCUGGGAUGUAAAAGAAUCACUUGGAGGGAUUUUUCAAAAUACCAAUGGCCAGGCCACUAGCCAGUCAAUCAGAAGCAAAAUCUCCUUGGGUGGGACCUAGAAGUCUUUACAGUUUUCCAGCAUUUUAAUGAACAUCCCUGAUUAAGAACCACCGGGUCUUAAGAGUGUGGUAUAUGUAUUUUUCAAGUUCCUAGAGGCUCUCCAAAACAGAAAAAAAAAAAAGAAAUCUGCUUUAUUCUCUGCUUGGUGUUGAUGGAUCAGUCUCUUUAGCCGUUAGUCUGAUCCUGGAAAUUUAUGGUCAUAAUUUGAUGAGCAACGUUGGGAAUGGCUUCUUCUUUUUCUUUUUUCGUUUUGAGACAGAGUCUCACUCUGUCGACCAGGCUGCAGUGUAGUGGCGCGAUCUCCGCUCACUGCAACCUCCACCCCAAUACUUUCAUUUUUAAAUAUUAUUUAUGGAAUCCAGGUUUGCAUAAGAUGGACUGGGUCAAUGGCCAUGCCCUUUAUAAAUCAAUAUUCUUAAGUUCUGCAAAUUCAGUUUCCUAAAGAGCCAAAUCACAUCCUACUCAUCAGCAAGGCAGGUAGACAUCAUCUUCACAAUCACUUCUAAUUUUUGACCAUUGUAAAAAAAAUGAAAUAUGUAAUCACUUUCUUAUUGUAAAAUAAACAAUUUACUUUUGCAGGA
Pongo pygmaeus (Bornean orangutan) is the source of this 2711-nucleotide long non-coding RNA. RefSeq lists it as uncharacterized. NCBI's taxonomy places the organism in Eukaryota, Metazoa, Chordata, Mammalia, Primates, Hominidae. The record is from RefSeq and is a predicted model, not a curated record. The transcript is spliced from 2 exons.